Hypanus sabinus (Atlantic stingray) is the source of this 1430-nucleotide long non-coding RNA. RefSeq lists it as uncharacterized. Lineage: Eukaryota; Metazoa; Chordata; Chondrichthyes; Myliobatiformes; Dasyatidae. The transcript has 2 exons. The record is from RefSeq and is a predicted model, not a curated record.
CUAGUGAGCACCGAGCCGUAGAGCAAUGGUGGCCUCUCUGUACAGUGUCAUAGGCCCUGUGUCUGCAAUAUAAAUGAGGAGAACAGAGAAAAUCAAAGAGUGCGCUUGCUUUCUUAUACAAAUUGAAGCGGAACAGCUGCGGCCCGAUGGUGCAGUGAGAAAGACACGAAUACUAUUUGAGGAAAGCCAUUUCAGAGUUACGGUUAAGUCCAGUCCAACUGUCUGGCUCCGGCACUACCAGCCAUCAGAGAGAAGUGAGAAGCGCUGUGUACAGAGCACGAGUCGGGGCCAACCAGCAUGCCAAGAAAAGUAAAGAGAGCCUUGGCUGCACCUCAAAUAAUCCGAAAAAGAUUGCAUGGCAUUAAAGCUGCAAGUGCGGGCUCACAAACAGCGAUGGGCAUCAUCACAGCACCGUACUUUCCCGUUGAACCUCGGUUCCCAUUGCGAGAGAAAGUCUUACUGGCUCUCUCCUUGCUUUUUCCCUCCCCGUCUUUCGUUCGCUCCCUUUCCCAGGGACACAUACUGUAACUAGCGCAACUACGCCACUCACUUGCUGUUUCAUUCACUUUAUGGGGGAAUAGCUAAGACCUGAUACAAUACCACCGCAUAUUGAGGGGAUUUUAUCAAUCAGAUUUAAAAGCUUCGUUUUUACUGUAUAGUAUUCAAGCGAUGAGUGGCAUUUAAAAUAUCUUGUGUUUUAUUUAGAAAAGUCAUGUGUUCUUUUAUAGUAAAAGUCAUAUUCAGCCUAGAAAUGUCACCCAAGCCUCUUGGCGUGCGUCUCUGCUAUUAUUGCUCGGUUCCAAAGGAACGUGUUAUUAUUAGUUUAGCUUGUCUUUCCUCUUCUCUGUGAUUUAACAAAACAAAUUGGAAGUACUAAUAACUAUUGUUGCUGCAAAAAUAUUGUUUUAAAAGAUGUUCUGCAACAUGUUUGGUAACUUGCUUUGACAUCACCCUGACUACAACUGCUAUAAAUCUAUAUGGGGAGUUUCAUCAUGUAUUUCAUGUAAAUGUAUUCUACUAUUAACAUGAAGCGUUUCAGUUAGUGGCAAAGCCAACAAUAUUCGGUUAAAACGUUUUCACGCAGAUUGGGAUUACAGUAUUAGAUGCAUCCCAUGGAUCAAUGUGGAACAGCUAUUAUUUUAAACUCUGAUUUUCACAACGCCCGCAUUGCUAAACAAGCGGCAGCAAUCAACUAUCCAUAACAAAACAUAGAAGUAACUUCAGUAAUUCAACAUCCGUAAUGUUUGAUUUCUAGUAAUUUUUCCAUUAGCUACGACGCAAACUGUACGCAAGUGGGUGGGAAUGUCGGUAGUGAUGUAAAAGAUUUGUCCAAGUUUUCUUAGAUCUAUUCUGAUAAAUAUUGGCAUUUAUACUCAAAUCCGCCAAAUUUUACUUUUGAAACAUUAAAAUAUAUGUAUUGUUUUAAUAUA